UGGGGAAUAUUGGACAAUGGGCGAAAGCCUGAUCCAGCCAUGCCGCGUGUGUGAAGAAGGUCUUCGGAUUGUAAAGCACUUUAAGUUGGGAGGAAGGGCAGUUACCUAAUACGUAUCUGUUUUGACGUUACCGACAGAAUAAGCACCGGCUAACUCUGUGCCAGCAGCCGCGGUAAUACAGAGGGUGCAAGCGUUAAUCGGAAUUACUGGGCGUAAAGCGCGCGUAGGUGGCAUGACAAGUCACUUGUGAAAUCUCUGGGCUUAACCCAGAACGGCCAAGUGAUACUGUCGCGCUAGAGUGCAGAAGGGGCAAUCGGAAUUCUUGGUGUAGCGGUGAAAUGCGUAGAUAUCAAGAGGAACACCUGAGGUGAAGACGGGUUGCUGGGCUGACACUGACGCUGAGGCGCGAAAGCCAGGGGAGCAAACGGGAUUAGAUACCCAAGUAGUCCCUGAGCGGGCUGGCAAGGCGCAU
Molecule: ribosomal RNA, 472 nt
Filed under: uncultured bacterium
Lineage: Bacteria
Description: bacterial SSU rRNA
Rfam family: Bacterial small subunit ribosomal RNA
Source: RNAcentral